RNAcentral lists this non-coding RNA (45 nucleotides) under Paenibacillus curdlanolyticus. Its description in RNAcentral is "PreQ1-I sequence". It matches the Rfam family "PreQ1 (pre queuosine) riboswitch aptamer". From Rfam's summary of the family: This family is a bacterial riboswitch that binds to the metabolite preQ1, an intermediate in the biosynthesis of the modified nucleoside queuosine from GTP. The record is from RNAcentral. RNAcentral also lists the same sequence under 1 other name. Lineage: Bacteria; Bacillati; Bacillota; Bacilli; Caryophanales; Paenibacillaceae.
AAGGUAGAGGUUCGCAAACUUCCCUCUCUAAAAAACUAAGCAUAA